AUAGGCUCUUCUCAUAUGCUUAGACGUACUCUCAUGACAAGUGUAAAGGGGGCCUCUGGCGGGCGCUCGCGAAUACGCUUGGGAACCCGCGUCCGUUUGGGGACGGCCCGCCGAGGCAACAUUAGCAGUGUCGACAGGAGGUGAGUGAGGGCCCCGACGGGGCACAACUCGGUAAUGAUCCUUCCGCAGGUUCACCUACGGAAA
RNAcentral lists this unclassified non-coding RNA (204 nucleotides) under uncultured fungus. Its description in RNAcentral is "sequence contains ITS1". The record is from RNAcentral. Lineage: Eukaryota; Fungi.